Molecule: ribosomal RNA, 505 nt
Filed under: uncultured bacterium
Lineage: Bacteria
Description: partial 16S ribosomal RNA
Rfam family: Bacterial small subunit ribosomal RNA
Source: RNAcentral
AACGAACGCUGGCGGUGCGUCUUAAGCAUGCAAGUCGAACGGUAACGGGCCUUCGGGUGCCGACGAGUGGCGAACGGGUGAGUAACACGUAGGUGAUCUGCCUUUGGGUUGGGGAUAGCCUGUGGAAACACAGGGUAAUACCGAAUGAUGUCGUAGUACUGUGGUGCAACGAUUAAAGGGGCUAUGGCCCCGCCUGAAGAUGAGCCUGCGGCUGAUUAGCUAGUCGGUGAGGUAAAGGCUCACCAAGGCGACGAUCAGUAACCGGCCUGAGAGGGUGGCCGGUCACACUGGGACUGAGAUACGGCCCAGACUCCUACGGGAGGCAGCAGCUAAGAAUCUUCCGCAAUGGACGAAAGUCUGACGGAGCGACACCGCGUGAGUGAUGAAGGCGGAAACGUUGUAAAGCUCUUUUAUGGAUGAGGAAUAAGUCUGGGAGGGAAUGCCCGGAUGAUGACGGUAGUCCAUGAAUAAGCCCCGGCUAAUUACGUGCCAGCAGCCGCAGUAA